GACGAACGCUGGCGGCGUGCUUAACACAUGCAAGUCGAACGAAGAGCGAUGGAAGCUUGCUUCUAUCAAUCUUAGUGGCGAACGGGUGAGUAACGCGUAAUCAACCUGCCCUUCAGAGGGGGACAACAGUUGGAAACGACUGCUAAUACCGCAUACGAUCUAACCUCGGCAUCGAGGAUAGAUGAAAGGUGGCCUCUACAUGUAAGCUAUCACUGAAGGAGGGGAUUGCGUCUGAUUAGCUAGUUGGAGGGGUAACGGCCCACCAAGGCGAUGAUCAGUAGCCGGUCUGAGAGGAUGAACGGCCACAUUGGGACUGAGACACGGCCCAGACUCCUACGGGAGGCAGCAGUGGGGAAUCUUCCGCAAUGGACGAAAGUCUGACGGAGCAACGCCGCGUGAGUGAGGACGGCCGUCGGGUUGUAAAGCUCUGUUAAUCGGGACGAAAGGCCUUCUUGCGAAUAGUUAGAAGGAUUGACGGUACCGGAAUAGAAAGCCACGGCUAACUACGUG
RNAcentral lists this ribosomal RNA (510 nucleotides) under uncultured bacterium. Its description in RNAcentral is "partial 16S ribosomal RNA". It matches the Rfam family "Bacterial small subunit ribosomal RNA", at positions 28 to 507 of the family's 1533-position model. The record is from RNAcentral.